GUGAACUUCACUACUGCAUGCUACCCAAACAACACAUGCAGAUGUGAGGAUCAGUAUGGUUGGUCAUGUGACCAGUGUCUCUCUUAUGGGUCCUGUGACAACAUCACUGAUGACUCCUGUGGAUGUAUCAAAGCCAUUCCUCCUUAUGGACCGUUUUGUCAGCCAAUCACAAAUCUGACGGCUUGUCCAACACCAUCUCCAAC
Salvelinus sp. IW2-2015 is the source of this 203-nucleotide long non-coding RNA. RefSeq lists it as uncharacterized. Lineage: Eukaryota; Metazoa; Chordata; Actinopteri; Salmoniformes; Salmonidae. The record is from RefSeq and is a predicted model, not a curated record.